Molecule: unclassified non-coding RNA, 213 nt
Filed under: Hevea brasiliensis (rubber tree)
Lineage: Eukaryota; Viridiplantae; Streptophyta; Magnoliopsida; Malpighiales; Euphorbiaceae
Source: RNAcentral
GUUCUUUGUUGUGGGUGUUUUCAGCUGUCAUGCAUAUGCUUUCUGCAUUGCUUGAAAAAGUAAAGCCAGAGGAAACCCUGAUCGCUCAAGGAAGUAGCAGACAUGUUCCAUGGUUGCCAGAGUUUGUUUCUAAGGUUGGACUUGAAAUAAUUAGAAACCAGUUUUUGAGUAUCAAUGGCACAGAGGAACAAAAAGAUUUUGAUGAAAGUGGCA